Cuculus canorus (common cuckoo) is the source of this 698-nucleotide long non-coding RNA. RefSeq lists it as uncharacterized. The record is from RefSeq and is a predicted model, not a curated record. NCBI's taxonomy places the organism in Eukaryota, Metazoa, Chordata, Aves, Cuculiformes, Cuculidae. The transcript has 4 exons.
GGGACCCGAGCAGGGGUGUACAUACGUGAUCAGGAUUGACUGGUUCUCGCGAUCUGGGGAAGAGGCAGAAAUACAGUGUUUAAAACUCAAUGAACAUCACAGAAAGAAUGAAAUGUAGUCAGGAACAGGUGGUGGCUUACAGAAAAGGAGGGCUGCAGCUUCCAUUCUUUGCGAGGCAGAGAACAGUCAGACCGGUAAGGGGAACAAACAAUAGCAUUGCGUUUUCCAGAGACAACAAGAAGAGCUUAGUUGCGCAUAUUACAGCUUUUUCUACUCUUACUUCUCUAGUAUUUCCAUUCCUGCAGAAUUCCAGAGCCCUUUGACCAUCUCAGAGCUCAGCCCACACACUGGAAGAUGGCCCAGGGAUGGACUGCACUGCAGCUGAACUCAAAGCACAGCAGUCAAAGAGAAGAGGCAAAAUGUGAGCGGAUCCUGAAUACAGGCUGUCCUGCACGGCAACGCGGCGUGGGCAAGACUCUGCAGUGCUGACAUUCCCAUAGAAGAGGGAGGAUUUGGGCAUGCCGAAAAUAGACCCUUCUUGAGAUGGAGACCAGGCAGCUGCCUCACUCCCUGCCACCCUUUAAGAGGAGUCUUCCCCUCCCCCAUGAUCCGUGACUGUCUGUGAGACCAGGAGAAUAAAGUCACCUCUCAGAAAGGCAGCACAGAUCUGGUGGGAAAGCAAAGGCAUUCCUUAGACU